Molecule: long non-coding RNA, 390 nt
Organism: Pelmatolapia mariae (spotted tilapia)
Lineage: Eukaryota; Metazoa; Chordata; Actinopteri; Cichliformes; Cichlidae
Exons: 3
Source: RefSeq, a predicted model, not a curated record
AACAUCUGUGGCAUCUAUUAAUGUCAAAUCUAGCCUUUAUUUAACAACAUAAGCAAACUCUAUGUUACAAUGAUUGCACAGCCAUUAAGGAUCAAAUCAGUUUCUGAAAAAUGUUCUGUUUUUUCUCCCUCUGCUUGCUUCUUACUGUCUUUGAGGCUCGGGACCAGCACUCCUGUUGUUGGACAGAAAGACAUCAACUCAGUGACUUGAGAUAUGACUGCACUGUGCUGUUGCUGGUGACUCCAGUUAAUUCUACAAGACAUGCUGUGACAACAGGAGAGAUGAGUCCGCCGUCACACAUGGUGUGGUCAGUGAAGAUGGUCGCCUGCAGGUUCAAGCUCAUUGCAUCUCCAACCCACAUCCACUGCCACUGUACUUAAGGGAAGUUAA